Molecule: long non-coding RNA, 1878 nt
Filed under: Marmota monax (woodchuck)
Lineage: Eukaryota; Metazoa; Chordata; Mammalia; Rodentia; Sciuridae
Source: RNAcentral
UGUGUCUUUUUCAGGCCUGGUUGCAGCAUGCUUGAAAUCUGGGAUGUUGAAGACCCUUUCAAUGCUGAUAACCCUCCCCUAUGUAGCAUCCUGCUCAAGGAUGCAAGGCCUUACUUCACCACAGUAUUUAUGAAUAGUAUGUACAGAGUAUUAAAGGUUAACUGAGAAUUACACUGUGGUGCAAGAGGUGUGUUGAAAACAAACAUGGUUUGCCUUAUUUUUUGGCCUGGUGAUUUAAUAAAAUCACAAGCGUUAAAAGAGACACUUAAAAACAAGAUAAUAAAAAUGAUUUAAAGUCUUUGAUUACUAAAGGUAGAUCACUUCAUUGUUUUCCAUUGAAUGUCAGCUUUAUUAAGCUUGUUGUAUAAAUGAUUAAAUCAUUUUAUAUUGCAAAAAUGUUCAUCUUAAGAGUUUUAAGGGAAAAUGUAUGCAAAAGAGCAAUGGAAUUUAAUAAAUCAAGGAUAUGGAAAUCCUUUCUUAUCCAACUAGGUGAAUCAUUUCAGGUUUUUUCUAGUACCAGGUGUAUCAGCUCAGACUCCUUCAACCACUUAGAAGAAUGCAGCUCUGAAAUGACACUUCCUGAGACCCUGAUACUGCUCACAACCAUUGUACAGUCUGUGAGGAAACUCUGUGUCCAUUGUGGUAUUUUUUCUUUUACUAGACUUCAGAAAAGAUCUUUAAUAGUGUUCGAAUGCUUUAAAAAAAACAGCUUGUUUUGUAAUGUGCUUUCCACUGAUCAGUUUUUAUCCUGAGCUAAACAGGUAUUAAUCUGUCUUUAGAAUCCAGUGGUUUUUCUUUUAAUCUCAAGGUAAAAUGAAAAUUUCUAUGGCACACAAUCAAAUUUGGUGGUUAAACAUAAUCAGAAAAGAAAAUCCAGUUAAAUUUAUCGAGUGAGAUUUUCAGAUGCUAGACCUUGAAUCAAGCAAAGGCCUUUCUUUUCACCUUGAUGGCUUGAUAGCUUUGUUGGACAUAGUAUUUCUAGCCACCAUCUUUCAUAAUGCAUACUCAUUUACUUUUGUUUUUGGAUGAGGAAGGUCAGGUUUUAUAACUCCUUUCCCCCUAUAAAACCUAUCCAACAAUAAUGCUUUGAAAAGAGGUAAUUAUCAGUUGCCAAUUGCAGAGUAACAUUCUUUUUCUCUGCUUGAUAAAUAUUAAAUAUGCCAGCUCUGCAGUAUUUUAAUGUGCAUUCAAGUUAAUCAUCUUGUGAUAAUAAAACAUACUUAUGUUCUUGUGAUAACAAAAUGAUUUAAUUCCAUAGAUUAGUUCACUUAUAGAAGGCAAGCAAUCACACAUAGAAAAAAAACAUUAAAAUUGCUUUUCAAUCUUUGUAGUUUAAAAUAUUCAGUAUAGAAUAUAAAACAGCUAAGAAAGUAUGCACAAUUCAUUUAUUUUAGAAUUUUCGAAUAAAUUCAUUUUGUAAGUGUGGAGCAAAGAAGGAAAAGUGACAUAACAACUAAUAUUCAUAAAAUUCAAGAAACACAUUUUGGAUGAUGUUUUCAUAGGUCAUAUUUUUAAAAAAUUGGCAGAAUAUGGCAAAAAUGGAUGAGUUUAUUAACUAUAAAAUGUUCUAUAUACAUAUAAUGAUUUCAUGUGGAUUUUUAUUUUUCUGUCCUCUGUAUGGUAAAUAAUUAAAAAAACACUUGAGAUUCUUUGUGUUUUCUAUCUUCUGAUCCUUAAUCAAGCAUACAUUUUGAAAUUGAAAGAGUUCUGAUAUAAGGCAGAAAUUGGAGAUUGCUGGAUUUAUUAGCCAAGUUUACAUUGGCAAUGGCCUUUAUUAGCUAUUUUAGACAAUUCUGCAUAGCUGCAGCUAUAAGAGAAGGCACUGUGAUGGAGAUAGUUUGGCCUUUGUUACAAGAUGGACCAAAGUUUGAAUUCUGG